AAUUGCAUCGGUGAUGGAGCUCACCAUUAAACUCCUGCAAAGGAUAAUGGCUCCUGCGAAUAG
Molecule: non-coding RNA, 63 nt
Filed under: Alicyclobacillus sp.
Lineage: Bacteria; Bacillati; Bacillota; Bacilli; Caryophanales; Alicyclobacillaceae
Description: Fluoride sequence
Rfam family: Fluoride riboswitch aptamer (crcB RNA motif)
Source: RNAcentral